AGACAUUAAUCUUAAGUAUCCAGGGAGCCCUAAAACAUUGUAUCCCACUAGCAAGGACCAUGGUAAUUGCCACGUAAAUCCCCUCCAUUAUGUGGCCCUUAUUAUGACCAGCCAGCCAAGGCUUGCCUUUAAAUCAUACCAAUUGAACCGAGCCUUGUAGAAACACUAUCACCUACGCAUACCUCUGCUUCUUUUCAUUAACCUGCUAUCCUCUUUACAAAUGGGAUUCUUCACCCACUCCCUUCUUCUAGAUUAGCAAUGCCCUGUUAAGUAAACGAACACGAAAUUCAAAGGGAAACAGGAGCAAUCAUCAUUACCAGCUGCCGUGUUAAGCAUUGCGAAAACGCUCACGAUUCACAGAAAAAUCCAUGCUGUUCUUUGAAGGCAUUCAAGCCUUAAUAGCUAGCUGGAUGAAUGUUUAACUUCUAGGCCAGGCACUACUCUGUCCCAACAAUAAGCCCUGUACAUUGGGAAAGGUGCCGAGACAUGAACUUUGGUCUUCUCUGCAAUCCAUCUGGAGCAUUCACUGACAACAUCGACUUUGAAGUUGCACUGACCUGGCCAGCCCUGCCACUUACCAGGUUGGGCUGUGGCUUGCCUUUUCACUUCUUGUGUCCUGUUUAAGAAAUAUCUGCUAUCCCAAGAUUGCAAACUCCUAGAGAAGGGCUCAACAGUGAGUGCUGAGGCUGCACAGAGGAGGAAGGCAGCACAAUGAUGGAAGGCUUCCUAAAGAGAUAACACUAACAAAGUUGACCUUAGAAUUGGAGUGCCUGGGUUAGAACCCUGCUGGUACCACCUGCUUACUGCAUGCUUCUGAUGUGAGUUCAGGAGAAGACACUGGCAAGGACAGCAAAGAACAGGAGAACACUCUAGCUUCCCUGAUAGCAUUCAAGGUGCUGUCCAAAAGUUUCACUCUUAUUGCCCAGGCUGGAGUGGAAUGGCGCAAUCUUGGCUCACUGCAACCUCCGUCUUUCGGGUUCAAGCAAUUCUUCUGCCUCAGCCUCCCCAGUAGCUGGGACUACAGGCAUGCACCACCAUGCCUGGCUAAUUUUGUAUUUUUAGGAGAGACGGGGUUUCACCAUGUUGGUCAGGCUGGUCUUGAACUCCUGACCUCAGUUGAUCCACCGUCUUCAGCCUCCCAAAGUGCUGGGAAUACAGGCAUGAGCCACCAUGCCCAGCCUAAUUUUUCUUACAUGAGAUACGGUUUACCAAAGUCCACCUUCCACUUCUUCCUUCGUGUAUAUAUAGAGAUAGCAUUUCCUAGCUUCUCUUGCAAUUAAUUGUGGCCAUGAGCUUUGGGCAGUGGAAUGUGAAUGGAAGUGAUGUGGCCACUCCAUAUGUGUUUCUCUGUGUCCUUUCCCCUUCUAGCUGACUGUGAUGGCACCCUCCAGACAGACAGCGAUGCCACAUGUUCAAGAUGGCAGAAUCACUAUCAGCUUCAAUUCCUGAAUGACUGCAGAGCAAAAUUUCUUACCUGCAACAUACACUCUAUUUUCAGCCUCCCUGGACUGUUACAUAAUGAUACAUAAAAAUAUUUCUUGUGUUGAGGCAUCCCAAAUUUGAUUUAUUUGUCAUCACAGUCUAUCCUAUGAAUAUAUUUCUGAUCCAAAUAAUGCUAGAUUCAUGAGAGUUUAUAGUCCAGAGAUUUUUUUUUUUUUUUUGAGACAGAAUCUGUCUCCCAGGCUGGGGUGCAGUGGCAUAAUCUUAGCUCACUGCAACCUCUGCCUCCCGGGCUCAAGUGAUCCUCCCUCCUUAGCCUCCAUGAGUAGCUGGGACCACAGGUGUGCACCACCACACCCCGCUAAUUAUUUUGUAUUUUUUGCAGAGGGGGGUUUCACCACAUUGCCCAAGCUGGUCUCAAACUCCUAGACUUAAGGGAUCUGCCUGCCUUGGCCUCCCAAAAUGCUGAAAUUACACUUGUUAGCCAUAGUAAUAGUUCCUAGCCAUAGUCCGGAGAUAUUUUAAAAACUUUAGUGUGAGUUAUUUCUCUUUGCUAUAAUUCUCUCAUGCAUUUUGAAAACCUUUUCUGCCAUACAGUGGUUUUUGGGAAGUCCUUUUGGACAGACAUAUCACAGGAUGGAGAAACUAAAAAGAGAGAAUGCAUUAAAGAAAAAAUAGUACUUCGUAUUUCAGAAAUUACAAAAGGGUGUCAUGCCCCACAGCAUGGUGGGCAGUCAUUUGUAACCCACAGAACAUUGAGUUUCUAAAAUUUGAGUGUUUUUAACUUACGAAGGCCAACUUUACUGAUGAAGUGAUUACCCCAAAUAUGUGAAAUCCAUAUUUCAAGUACAAUAGUAGGAAAUUGGAAAUGGGCUCUUGAGUUUCUGCUUUCAAGUGACCCUCAGAAAUUCCUCCAUUCACUGCAGAGGUUCUGUUUCUCCUUGCUUUGUUCUGACUUUACGGCAGAACUAAGCUAAUGAGUUAGUUACUAUGGGUUAUCACUUGGAUUUGAAGAACCAUCAUUUCUAGGCAUUGCUGCUCAGAGUGGGUCUGCCCUCAGGGGAAGCUGUCUAACCAGAGCCUAACCCACUAGGGUUUUAUCAGAACCUAACUGACCUGAGGAAAAGAAAUACUCAACUCCAGCAAGCUCCAGCCUUCCAAAUGGAGGAGGAGAAAACCCAACUCCAGCCCACUUCAGCUAUCUUGUCCCACAUAAAGGGGAAGUGGAAGAAACCUGAGAAGCAGGCAUGAAGUUCACAGUCCAGAGACCUUGCCAUCGUAUCCCCUUUUGGAGACACAAGCCAGGAAGGAAGCUCUUCAGUGCAGCUGUGAAUAGAGAAAUGCUGGCUGAGGUUUUGGAGACACUGGGUGAUCAUUCCCAGUGAAAUUUUUAGAUCCCUGGGGACAUGAGCUGCUUUGUCUUUUCCAAGGUCAGGAUAAACAGAAUAACUUCAGGCUUCUCUACCCAGAAAGAACAUGUGGCAUAAAUAUCAACUGCAGAAUAAAUAUGAUUAAUCUGGUACAUGGACGAAGAUGUUUUCUAGGAGAUGCUUAUCCUGGGAUGAGAGCUUUCAUAAGCAUUGAUAUUUACAUGACUCUUACCGUGUGUCAGGAACUGUUCUAAUUGUUUUACCUAUGUCAAUUCAUUUGAUAGUCACAACCACUGAAAGGAGUAAGUACUCUUAUUACUUCCAUUUUACAGAUAGGGAAACUGAGGUAUAGAGAAGUCAAGUGACUUGCCCGAGGUUAUUAAACUACUUAAUGUCAACACCA
This 3213-nucleotide long non-coding RNA is filed under the name Homo sapiens (human). RNAcentral's name for it is "PREDICTED lncRNA (TCONS_00257676)". Lineage: Eukaryota; Metazoa; Chordata; Mammalia; Primates; Hominidae. The record is from RNAcentral.